RNAcentral lists this long non-coding RNA (204 nucleotides) under Mytilus galloprovincialis (Mediterranean mussel). The record is from RNAcentral. Lineage: Eukaryota; Metazoa; Mollusca; Bivalvia; Mytilida; Mytilidae.
UGGGCUGUGUGCAUCAUUCAAAAUUAGAGAAUGUAAGUAUCAAGUCUCAAUUCAAGAUUAUGAAUGAAAAAAAUAUAGAAUUACGGGGGGGGGGGGGAUAGGACCUUUAUCGGAACUCCGGGAUCGGGUGAUUUUAAGCUCGGGAUUUCGGGAUUGACCCUUUCGGGAUCCAGGAAUUCUAUUUCCGAAUUUCGGGUAGUCGGG